AAGCCAAUCAAGUAUUGGCUUACUGUAGUCAGUAGCAGAAGGAUGCCUGAAAUCAUUGCAAAAGACAUCCUCCACGAGGAAAAAGCCCGAAGGAUCAUUUUUGCCUGUCUUUUUCAUUAUCUCAUCAGUAAUGCAAUAAAUCUUGUCUCUCAUUUCUGUCAAAAAUUGCCGCCCAAGAACCAGAAAUUCUUGUGUUUUUGUCCAUGUCUUUUUGUAAUGAUAAAUCUCAACACACAGGAUAGCUUCUGGAAACUGCAAUGCAAUAUGUUCACGAGUAUUUACUGCUCUCACCUUUGUUCCCAAGCUUCCUGACUUGAGUGAUAUCAUCCUACCACUCUUACUGGAGGAUGUUGGAGCAGAGUGGCUGCUGCUACAACUACCAUUGAAAGAGUGCAAUCG
Molecule: unclassified non-coding RNA, 399 nt
Filed under: Hevea brasiliensis (rubber tree)
Lineage: Eukaryota; Viridiplantae; Streptophyta; Magnoliopsida; Malpighiales; Euphorbiaceae
Source: RNAcentral